RNAcentral lists this transfer RNA (73 nucleotides) under Caudoviricetes sp. RNAcentral's name for it is "tRNA-Asn". It matches the Rfam family "tRNA". Rfam says of the family: Transfer RNA (tRNA) molecules are approximately 80 nucleotides in length. Their secondary structure includes four short double-helical elements and three loops (D, anti-codon, and T loops). The record is from RNAcentral. Lineage: Duplodnaviria; Heunggongvirae; Uroviricota; Caudoviricetes.
UCCUCCUUAGCUCAGUUGGUAGAGCGGCGGACCGUUAAUUCGCGGGUCGCAGGUUCGAGUCCUGCAGGAGGAG